AGAGACAGCAGCAGCCGCGGGAAUACGUAGGGUGCAAGCGUUAAUCGGAAUUACUGGGCGUAAAGCGUGCGCAGGCGGUUAUAUAAGACAGAUGUGAAAUCCCCGGGCUCAACCUGGGAACUGCAUUUGUGACUGUAUAGCUAGAGUACGGCAGAGGGGGAUGGAAUUCCGCGUGUAGCAGUGAAAUGCGUAGAUAUGCGGAGGAACACCGAUGGCGAAGGCAAUCCCCUGGGCCUGUACUGACGCUCAUGCACGAAAGCGUGGGGAGCAAACAGGAUUAGAUACCCCGGUAGUCCCUGUCUCUUAUAC
RNAcentral lists this ribosomal RNA (309 nucleotides) under uncultured bacterium. RNAcentral describes it as "partial 16S ribosomal RNA". It matches the Rfam family "Bacterial small subunit ribosomal RNA", at positions 504 to 807 of the family's 1533-position model. The record is from RNAcentral.